GAUGAACGCUGGCGGCGUGCCUAAUACAUGCAAGUCGAGCGAACAGACGAGGAGCUUGCUCCUUUGACGUUAGCGGCGGACGGGUGAGUAACACGUAGGUAACCUAACUAUAAGACUGGGAUAACUUCGGGAAACCGGAGCUAAAACCGGAUAAUAUUUCGAACCGCAUGGUUCGAUAGUGAAAGAUGGCUUUGCUAUCACUUAUAGAUGGACCUGCGCCGUAUUAGCUAGUUGGUAAGGUAACGGCUUACCAAGGCAACGAUACGUAACCGACCUGAGAGGGUGAUCGGCCACACUGGAACUGAGACACGGUCCAGACUCCUACGGGAGGCAGCAGUAGGGAAUCUUCCGCAAUGGGCGAAAGCCUGACGGAGCAACGCCGCGUGAGUGAUGAAGGUCUUCGGAUCGUAAAACUCUGUUAUUAGGGAAGAACAAACGUGGAAGUAACUGUGCACGUCUUGACGGUACCUAAUCAGAAAGCCACGGCUAACUACGUG
This 497-nucleotide ribosomal RNA is filed under the name uncultured bacterium. RNAcentral's name for it is "partial 16S ribosomal RNA". It matches the Rfam family "Bacterial small subunit ribosomal RNA", at positions 28 to 507 of the family's 1533-position model. The record is from RNAcentral.